CAUGUGUCCGCCCUCUCCACC
RNAcentral lists this microRNA (21 nucleotides) under Zea mays. RNAcentral describes it as "zma-miR164e-3p". Its record names the gene zma-miR164e-3p. The record is from miRBase by way of RNAcentral. Lineage: Eukaryota; Viridiplantae; Streptophyta; Magnoliopsida; Poales; Poaceae.